AUACGUAGGUGACAAGCGUUAUCCGGAUUUACUGGGCGUAAAGGGCGUGUAGGCGGUCUUGCAAGUCAGAAGUGAAAUUCCUGAGCUCAACUCGGGCGCUGCUUCUGAAACUGCAGGACUUGAGUGCUGGAGGGGAUAGCGGAAUUCCUAGUGGAGCGGUAAAAUGCGCAGAUAUUAGGAAGAACACCGGUAGCGAAGGCGGCUAUCUGGACAGUAACGGACGCUGAGGCGCGAAAGCGUGGGGAGCAAACGGGAUGAGAUACCCGGGUAGUCCACGCCGUAAACGAUGAAUACUAGGUGUAGGGGGUAUCGACUCCCUCUGUGCCGCAGUUAACACAAUAAGUAUUCCGCCUGGGGAGUACGGCCGCAAGGUUGAAACUCAAAGGAAUUGACGGGG
Molecule: ribosomal RNA, 397 nt
Filed under: uncultured bacterium
Lineage: Bacteria
Description: partial 16S ribosomal RNA
Rfam family: Bacterial small subunit ribosomal RNA
Source: RNAcentral